This 403-nucleotide ribosomal RNA is filed under the name Verrucomicrobiota bacterium. RNAcentral describes it as "Verrucomicrobia bacterium partial 16S ribosomal RNA". It matches the Rfam family "Bacterial small subunit ribosomal RNA", at positions 355 to 776 of the family's 1533-position model. Lineage: Bacteria; Pseudomonadati; Verrucomicrobiota. The record is from RNAcentral.
UGGGGAAUAUUGCACAAUGGGGGAAACCCUGAUGCAGCGACGCCGCGUGAGCGAUGAAGGCUUUCGAGUCGUAAAGCUCUGUCCUAUGGGAAGAUAAUGACGGUACCAUAGAAGAAAGCCCCGGCUAAUUACGUGCCAGCAGCCGCGGUAAUACGUAGGGGGCUAGCGUUAUCCGGAUUUACUGGGCGUAAAGGGUGCGUAGGUGGUCUUUCAAGUCGGUGGUUAAAGGCUACGGCUCAACCGUAGUUAGCCUCCGAAACUGGAAGACUUGAGUGCAGGAGAGGAAAGUGGAAUUCCCAGUGUAGCGGUGAAAUGCGUAGAUAUUGGGAGGAACACCAGUAGCGAAGGCGGCUUUCUGGACUGCAACUGACACUGAGGCACGAAAGCGUGGGUAGCAAACAGG